GACAUUACUUUGCCAACAAAGGUCCAUCUAGUCAAGGCUAUGGUUUUUCCAGUGGUCAUGUAUGGAUGUGAGAGUUGGACUGUGAAGAAGGCUGAGCUCCGAAGAAUUGAUGCUUUUGAACUGUGGUGUUGGAGAAGACUCUUGAGAGUCCCUUGGACUGCAAGGAGAUCCAACCAGUUCAUUCUAAAGGAGAUCAGUCCUGGGUGUUCUUUGGAAGGACUGAUGCUAAAGCUGAAACUCCAAUACUUUGGCCACCUCACGCGAAGAGUUGACUCACUGGAAAAGACUGUAAUGCUGGGAGGGAUUGGGGGCAGGAGGAAAAGUGGAUGACAGAGGAUGAGAUGGCUGGAUUGGCAUCACCGACUUGAUGGAUGUGAGUUUGAGUGAACUCCGGGAAUUGGUGAUGGACAGGGAGGCAUGGCAUGCUGCGAUUCAUGGGGUUGCAAAGAGUCGGACGACUGAGCAAUUGAACUGAACUGAUUGGGGGGGAAUAAGUAGCUUAAUAGGGGCUCAGGUAUGUCCCUGGUGGUUCAGUGAUUCAGAGUCUGGCCUUCUACAGCAGGGGGCACAGGUUGGAUAUCUGAUCCUAGAACUAAGAUAGGGAACUAAGAUCAGAAAAAGGGACCCCUCCCCGCCGCCCCCCCCCCCCCCGCCACACACACACACGAAAGAGCUCAAAGCAAGCGAGAGGACAGGAAGGAGAGGAUGGGAUGCUGGAAGCAGCUUGGAGCAGGGGAAAAGGGAAGAGCUCUGGGGCAGGGUGGGGACAGCCCACGGAGAACCUUUCAGAGCCCUGGGGACUGUUCGAAGUGCGCGGAGAAGGCAGGAGUUUCGGAGCUUGAACUAACUUGCUGCGGAGGGAGGCGCCGCGAGCCGCAGCCAUUCAGGUUUCAGUGCCAGCCCAAACCUUGGCCACAGCUGUGUUGCGUCCUCUUAGUGAUCGGCUCCUGGUCCCCCGGCUCCGCCCCCAGCACCCGGAGCCAGGACCCCGGAAGUGCGCGUUGGCGGCCCUGGCGAAGAAGAGAAGAGAGGGAGGGUGGCCACCUUGAUCCAGCUAAAGCAUCUCCAGGAGGCCUUCUCUGGAUGUCACAUCGAGGCUGCCCUUCUGCCACAACACGGAACUGGUGA
Molecule: long non-coding RNA, 1128 nt
Filed under: Ovis aries (sheep)
Lineage: Eukaryota; Metazoa; Chordata; Mammalia; Artiodactyla; Bovidae
Description: lncRNA (ENSOARG00000025985.1)
Source: RNAcentral